Molecule: transfer RNA, 76 nt
Filed under: Neomoorella thermoacetica
Lineage: Bacteria; Bacillati; Bacillota; Clostridia; Neomoorellales; Neomoorellaceae
Also listed under: 2 other names
Description: Moorella thermoacetica tRNA-Lys
Rfam family: tRNA
About the family: Transfer RNA (tRNA) molecules are approximately 80 nucleotides in length.
Source: RNAcentral
GCGCCAGUAGCUCAGCUGGUAGAGCAGCUGACUCUUAAUCAGCGGGUCGCGGGUUCGAAGCCUGCCUGGCGCACCA